GCCACCACGGCAGACAAUCCUGAGUAGUGGGCAGAAACCGGCUGUAAAUGUGAGGCAGCGGGGAAGUAAUUUGGAAAGCUCUCAGGGUCACUCUCCCAGGGCUGACUGAGGUGGCCUCCCAGCUGGCUUCACACAGCCCUGUCACACCUUCCAUCUGUGCCCGGGGCGCUUCCUGAGACUCCCCGUUCCUCAGUGUGAAUCCCAGAUGGUUCCCAUCGCCAUCUGGAUAAAGGCUCCACUCCCCAGCUGGCCUUAGAGACCCUCACAAUCCGGCCCGACCACCCAGCACCCUCCCUCUCCUUCCCUCUACGACCUUGCGUCUCUGAAUACACUUGUUCCUCUGCC
Molecule: long non-coding RNA, 345 nt
Organism: Gorilla gorilla gorilla (western lowland gorilla)
Lineage: Eukaryota; Metazoa; Chordata; Mammalia; Primates; Hominidae
Exons: 2
Source: RefSeq, a predicted model, not a curated record